Molecule: ribosomal RNA, 254 nt
Filed under: uncultured bacterium
Lineage: Bacteria
Description: partial 16S ribosomal RNA
Rfam family: Bacterial small subunit ribosomal RNA
Source: RNAcentral
UACGUGGGGUGCAAGCGUUAUCCGGAUUUACUGGGCGUAAAACGUACCGUCGGUGACCCGAUAAGUUCUUUGUUCAAGCCUGGGGCUCAACUCCAGAAAAGCACAGAAUACUAUCGGGAUUGAGUUUGUUCGGGGGAGCUGGAAUUCUCGGUGGAGGGGUGAAAUCCGUAGAUAUCGAGAGGAACGCCGUACGCGAAGGCAAGCUCCUAGGACACAACUGACACUCAUGGACGACAGCUCGGGGAGCAAAAGGG